This 748-nucleotide long non-coding RNA is filed under the name Gorilla gorilla gorilla (western lowland gorilla). RNAcentral describes it as "lncRNA (ENSGGOG00000044316.1)". The record is from RNAcentral. Lineage: Eukaryota; Metazoa; Chordata; Mammalia; Primates; Hominidae.
GAUUUCCUUUUAUUAUAUUUAUUAUUUAUUAUACAUUAUCAUCUAUUUAUUAUUUAUAUAUUUUAUAAUCUAUUAUACUCCUUUAUAGCUUUCCCCUCUGGCAACAGUGCAAAUUCCACAAAAGCAGGGCUUCUGUGUCUGUUUUACUAAUAUUUCUUGAGCACCUAGAACUAUGCCUGCCAAAGGAGAGGCUCUGCUGAAUAUGGAAGGGUGCAAACAGUAGAACGAACCUGGACCACUGAACCCCUGAAUUAUCCAACCAUCUUACUUCUGGACUUCUUAUUUUGUGACUAAAAAAUUCCUUUUGAAAUGAGAGUUAUUUGUGAUUGAGAUCUGGUUUACUUAAGAGCCAAAAAACAAAAUUCUGGAAUAUCUCUUGAUUCAAUGACAAAAGUUACAAAAAGAGUUCUUUCUAAUUGCUAGGAUGUAUUUGCAUUUUGCCAUCAUUGGAAAUAUGCCCUUACCCAGAAUUCAUUCCAAAGUAAAGUCAGAGGUAAAAGCCUUUGUUCGUUGUUUUUCUUCUGAGCUAUCAGAGUACUUACCAUAAAAAUCUCAUACUAAAUGAUGUAGUGCCAUGUCUAUUAGUAAUCAUGUGCCUGUCUUUUGCUUCCCUCCCUCUGAGUGUAGCAUAAGGAAAAUAGAAGUUCUCGGUGAUGCUGGCAGAGUGAAUAGAUUACAUCCAUGUUGUUAUGAGAGUCUGAAUCUGAACAUUGAAUCUGACCCUUCUGAGAGGACACCACACCACUAA